Molecule: small nuclear RNA, 169 nt
Filed under: Taenia asiatica
Lineage: Eukaryota; Metazoa; Platyhelminthes; Cestoda; Cyclophyllidea; Taeniidae
Description: U2 spliceosomal RNA
Rfam family: U2 spliceosomal RNA
About the family: U2 is a small nuclear RNA (snRNA) component of the spliceosome (involved in pre-mRNA splicing).
Source: Rfam by way of RNAcentral
AUCGCUUCUCAGCUCUGAGCUAAGAUCAUGUGUAGUAUCUGUUCUUUGCAGUGUAAUCUCUGCAACGGUCCCUAAUUUGGGACCAACCAGGGCGGGUGCUGUGAGCUUGCUCAACCCCGUCCACGGGUCGGCCUCGUAUUGCAUUACCUCGAGGAUUGGCCCACUAAUG